GACGAACGCUGGCGGCGUGCUUAACACAUGCAAGUCGAGCGGUAAGGCCCUUUCGGGGGUACACGAGCGGCGAACGGGUGAGUAACACGUGGGUGACCUGCCCUCAGCUCUGGGAUAAGCCUGGGAAACCGGGUCUAAUACCGGAUAUGACUCCAUGACGCAUGUUGUGGGGUGAAAGCCUUGUGCGGCUGAGGAUGGGCCCGCGGCCUAUCAGCUUGUUGGUGGGGUGAUGGCCUACCAAGGCGACGACGGGUAGCCGGCCUGAGAGGGCGACCGGCCACACUGGGACUGAGACACGGCCCAGACUCCUACGGGAGGCAGCAGUGGGGAAUCUUGCGCAAUGGGCGAAAGCCUGACGCAGCGACGCCGCGUGAGGAUGAC
RNAcentral lists this ribosomal RNA (381 nucleotides) under uncultured bacterium. Its description in RNAcentral is "bacterial SSU rRNA". It matches the Rfam family "Bacterial small subunit ribosomal RNA", at positions 28 to 412 of the family's 1533-position model. The record is from RNAcentral.